Molecule: RNA transcript, 2871 nt
Organism: Falco peregrinus (peregrine falcon)
Lineage: Eukaryota; Metazoa; Chordata; Aves; Falconiformes; Falconidae
Gene: ABLIM3
Gene name: actin binding LIM protein family member 3
Exons: 20
Source: RefSeq, a predicted model, not a curated record
GCGCCGCUCCGCUCCGCGCUGCCCCGCCCGGCGCUGCCGCCCGCCCGUCGGUCCGCCCGCCGCCCCGUCCGUCCGUCCGUCCGUCCGUCCGUCCGCGGGCUGCGCCGUGGGGCGGGGCGGGCGGGGAGCGGCGCUACGCGGCGCUGCGCGGCCCCCGCCGCGGCUCCACACCCCGCUAUAAGAGGAGCGGCCGCGGCCGCGCUCCGCAGUGCAUGGCAGCGCCUCGCCCGGUGCGGCGCGGCUGGGACCCUCCCCCGGGCCGGUCCCGGGCGUCCCCCGCCUCGCGUCGCCCCCUCCCCGCCGCCGACACCCUUGACCUUGCCAUCCGGCCGCUCGGCAGGGAGCGCAGCGGCGGCCACGGAGGCAGCCGUGCUGGGUCGCGGAGCUGCCUGGGGAUGCGUUAGCUGGCGGAUCGCACCGAAAUAUUUUUCCUAGGAAAGGGAGAGGCAGCCUCCUCCCGCUGACGGGGGAGUGGAAGAAAAAGGAUUUAAAGAGCAUCUUUGCCCCCUUUGUUGAAUGAGGAGGACGGAGGAGGACCGGCAAGAUGAGCACUAGCAUUCCCUAUCAGCAAAACCCCUACACCCCUGGAAGCAGCUCCACUGUCAUCCAGUGCUACCGCUGUGGGGACACCUGCAAGGGCGAGGUGGUGCGUGUCCAGAGCAAUCACUUCCACAUCCGCUGCUUCACCUGCCAAGUGUGCGGCUGUGACCUGGCCCAGUCGGGCUUCUUCUUUAAGAACCAGGAGUACAUCUGCACCCAUGACUACCAGCAACUCUAUGGGACCCGCUGUGACAGCUGUGGGGACUUCAUCACCGGAGAAGUCAUCUCUGCCCUAGGGAGGACCUACCACCCCAAGUGUUUUGUCUGCAGCACCUGCAGGAAGCCGUUCCCCAUCGGAGACAAGGUCACGUUCAGUGGGAAGGACUGCGUCUGCCAAAACUGCUCCCACUCUCUCAUCAGCACCAAACCCAUCAAGAUCCAUGGGCCCAGCCACUGCGCCGGCUGCAAGGAAGAGAUCAAGCAAGGCCAGUCCCUUCUGGCCCUGGAGAAGCAGUGGCAUGUCAGCUGCUUCAAGUGCCAAACAUGCGGGAUCAUCCUCACUGGCGAGUACAUCAGCAAGGAUGGCAUCCCGUACUGCGAGUCUGACUACCAUGCCCAGUUCGGCAUCAAGUGUGAGACCUGCAACCGGUACAUCAGCGGCAGGGUCCUGGAGGCAGGAGGGAAACACUACCACCCCACCUGUGCCAGAUGUGUCCGCUGCCACCAGAUGUUCACAGAAGGAGAGGAGAUGUACCUCACAGGCUCCGAAGUGUGGCACCCCAUCUGCAAGCAGGCAGCCAGGGCAGAGAAGAAACUAAAGCACAGGAGGACGUCAGAAACCUCCAUCUCGCCCCCCGGUUCCAGCAUCGGCUCCCCAAACCGUGUCAUCUGCGCUAAAGUGGAUAAUGAGAUCCUUAAUUACAAAGACCUGGCAGCUCUUCCCAAGAUUAAAGCCAUCUAUGAAGUGCAGCGUCCUGACCUCAUUUCCUACGAGCCCUAUCACAGAUACACGUCGGAUGAGACACUGGAGAGAUAUAGCUAUGGGGAGUCCCUGGGGACCCUCUCCCCGUACUCACAGGACAUCUACGAGAGCUUUGACAUGCGGCAGAGGCGAGCCUCCAGCCCUGGCUACAUCGACUCCCCCACCUACAGCCGCCAGGGCAUGUCCCCCACCAUCCCGAGGUCCCCCCAUCAUUUCUACCGCUCAGGCACGGAGAGCGGGCGCAGCUCCCCGUACUAUAGCCAGUUAGAUGUGAGGUCCUCCACUCCAACCUCAUACCAAGCACCCAAGCAUUUCCACAUCCCAGCUGCUGGCGAGAGUAACAUCUACCGGAAACCCCCCAUCUAUAAGCGACACGACAACCCCCCUGCAGCCACGAAAAGCAAAACCAGCGAAGACAUCGCACAGUCAUCCAAGUACAGCCCUGCCUAUUCCCCAGACUUGUACUACCACUCCGAGUCAGAGUACUGGUCCUUCCAAGGCUCCCCCAAAGCCCCCCGCGCCCGGAGGUUCUCAUCAGGAGGCGAGGAGGAUGGGUAUGACCGGAGCAUGCACAAGAUCCAGAGUGGCAUCGGCAGGCUGAUCCUGAGGGAGGAGAUGAAGGCUCGGUCCAGCUCCUACGCAGACCCCUGGACACCCCCUCGCAGCUCAGCCAGCAGCAGAGAAGCCCUGCACACGGCUGGCUAUGAGGGCUCCCUCAACGGCUCUCCUCGGACGCACUACCUGGCUGACAGCGGUGAGUGUGUGAGCCUGCAGCCCUCCACGGCUGGUCUCCUGUGGCUGUGGGGUCCAAGAACCUGAGCUGGAGGAGAUGCUGGGACCAGGAAGGGAAAAAAGGGAGAGAAAAAGGAGCUGAAAGGAUGGGACAGGGUAGAGCUGAACCAGGGCAGAGCUGGUGGCAGUGCCAGGAAAGGGCAAGACGGAGAAACUGAAAGAGGAGACUGUUGCACUGAAGGGUGAGGUGGGAUGGCUGCCAUGGGAAAGGGAUUUUGGGAAGAGGAAUAUCAGCAUGGAGGAAGCCAGGCUGGAAAUGAGUUGGAGCGGAAGGAGACAGAGCUGGGUGAAUGUGGAGUUGGGUAGCGAUGUGGGAGCACAGGGUAGGGUGACCCAGUGGGUGCUCUUCCAGGGGUGUGGGGCUCACCCCUGCAUUUUCCCUUAUGCACUUUGGUGGCUUUUUUGCAGAUCCCCUUUAUUUCUAAGUCAGCCUCCCUCCCUGCCUACAGGAGGAACGGGCUGCACAGGCCUCCCAGUGCCGAGCUUUUCCACUAUGACAGCACGAACGCCGUCAACUGGGGGAUGCGAGAGUACAAGGUAAGAUGCUUCUGCUCCAA